AUGAACGCUGGCGGCGUGCCUAAUACAUGCAAGUCGAGCGAACAGACGAGGAGCUUGCUCCUCUGACGUUAGCGGCGGACGGGUGAGUAACACGUGGAUAACCUACCUAUAAGACUGGGAUAACUUCGGGAAACCGGAGCUAAUACCGGAUAAUAUAUUGAACCGCAUGGUUCAAUAGUGAAAGACGGUUUUGCUGUCACUUAUAGAUGGAUCAGCGCCGCAUUAGCUAGUUGGUAAGGUAACGGCUUACCAAGGCAACGAUGCGUAGCCGACCGGAGAGGGUGAUCGGCCACACGGGAACUGAGACACGGUCCAGACUCCUACGGGAGGCAGCAGUAGGGAAUCUUCCGCAAUGGGCGAAAGCCUGACGGAGCAACGCCGCGUGAGUGAUGAAGGUCUUCGGAUCGUAAAACUCUGUUAUUAGGGAAGAACAAAUGUGUAAGUAACUAUGCACGUCUUGACGGUACCUAAUCAGAAAGCCACGGCUAACUACGUG
Molecule: ribosomal RNA, 496 nt
Filed under: uncultured bacterium
Lineage: Bacteria
Description: partial 16S ribosomal RNA
Rfam family: Bacterial small subunit ribosomal RNA
Source: RNAcentral